This 214-nucleotide long non-coding RNA is filed under the name Gossypium barbadense (sea-island cotton). Its description in RNAcentral is "long non-coding RNA (GBAR_LNC016362)". Lineage: Eukaryota; Viridiplantae; Streptophyta; Magnoliopsida; Malvales; Malvaceae. The record is from RNAcentral.
CACUUUAAAAAAAAUUGACACAAUAAAAAUGAUGUUAAUCUAUUUAGCUCCACCACUGUUCUAUCAUUAAUCAUGUCAAAUAAAUUCGCACCUCCCCAAAAUUUAUUUUUUAUCUCACAAAAUACACAAAAAUAUUGGUAUUGGAGGUGGUAUUUUCUAUAGGUGACAUCAAAUAAAUUGGUAGCACCUAAAAAAUUAAUUUUUUAAAUCUAGC